UCCGAGGUGAACCUGCGGAAGGAUCAUUG
This 29-nucleotide ribosomal RNA is filed under the name Angelica dahurica. Its description in RNAcentral is "partial 18S ribosomal RNA". The record is from RNAcentral. Lineage: Eukaryota; Viridiplantae; Streptophyta; Magnoliopsida; Apiales; Apiaceae.